Molecule: non-coding RNA, 148 nt
Organism: Aeromicrobium sp. Root472D3
Lineage: Bacteria; Bacillati; Actinomycetota; Actinomycetes; Propionibacteriales; Nocardioidaceae
Source: Rfam
CCCUUCGUCCCGGGCGACGGCUGUGCCACACUGAAUCAGCUCACGGCAACGGUGCAAGGAACCCGGUGGAACUCCGGGACGGUCGCGCCACUGUGACCGGGUCACCAGACCCGGGAGUCAGAGACUUCUCCGUUGCCUCCACUCAUAU